MicroRNA precursor from Sorghum bicolor (sorghum), 112 nucleotides. It matches the Rfam family "MIR5565 microRNA precursor family". The record is from Rfam. Lineage: Eukaryota; Viridiplantae; Streptophyta; Magnoliopsida; Poales; Poaceae.
GUUGUCGGAUUCACUUCAAUCCACGUGUUUUGGUGUGGAUUGGAGUGAUUUUUUUUUAAAAAAAUUCUACUCCAAUCUACUUUAACACAUGUGGAUUGAUAUGAAUCCAACU